GAAUGCUGACAUAAGUAACGAUAAAGCGGGUGAAAAGCCCGCUCGCCGGAAGACCAAGGGUUCCUGUCCAACGUUAAUCGGGGCAGGGUGAGUCGACCCCUAAGGCGAGGCCGAAAGGCGUAGUCGAUGGGAAACGGGUUAAUAUUCCCGUACUUGGUGUUACUGCGAAGGGGGGACGGAGAAGGCUAUGUUGGCCGGGCGACGGUUGUCCCGGUUUAAGCGUGUAG
RNAcentral lists this ribosomal RNA (227 nucleotides) under Salmonella enterica subsp. enterica serovar Ibadan. Its description in RNAcentral is "partial 23S ribosomal RNA". It matches the Rfam family "Bacterial large subunit ribosomal RNA", at positions 1292 to 1523 of the family's 2925-position model. Lineage: Bacteria; Pseudomonadati; Pseudomonadota; Gammaproteobacteria; Enterobacterales; Enterobacteriaceae. The record is from RNAcentral.